RNAcentral lists this unclassified non-coding RNA (207 nucleotides) under plant metagenome. RNAcentral's name for it is "partial contains small subunit ribosomal RNA, internal transcribed spacer 1, and 5.8S ribosomal RNA". The record is from RNAcentral.
UUUCCGUAGGUGAACCUGCGGAAGGAUCAUUCAUAAUAAGUGUUUUAUGGCACUUUUUUAAAUCCAUAUCCUCCUUGUGUGCAAUGUCAGGGUUGGUCUCUUUUGAUCAGCCCCAAACAUCAACUAUUAUCUCAACUCCUUGUCUGAAGAAUAUUAUGAAUAAAACAAUUCAAAAUACAACUUUCAACAACGGAUCUCUUGGCUCUC